RNAcentral lists this ribosomal RNA (322 nucleotides) under uncultured eukaryote. Its description in RNAcentral is "partial 18S ribosomal RNA". It matches the Rfam family "Eukaryotic small subunit ribosomal RNA", at positions 1470 to 1796 of the family's 1831-position model. The record is from RNAcentral.
CCCUUAGAUGUUCUGGGCCGCACGCGUGCUACACUGAGUGGAUCAGCGGGUCAGGUUGCGCGAAAGUGUUUCCUAAUCUUUAAAUCCGCUCGUGAUGGAGAUUGACGGUUGCAAUUUUCCGUCAUGAACGAGGAAUACCUUGUAAGCGCGGGUCAUCAUCCCGCGCUGAAUACGUCCCUGCCCUUUGUACACACCGCCCGUCGCUCCUACCGAUUGAGUGGUCCGGUGAGGCUUUGGGAUCUGAGCGGAAAGAGCGUUUCGCUGUUUCUGCCCGGAAAACUCAGUCGAACCUUAUCAUUUAGAGGAAGGAGAAGUCGUAACA